UCCUGCUUGGACAGGAGCCGAUAAUGUUACUCUCUCCUGUCGCUGCCGGUCUCUCUCUCUUGCUUCACCACUCACUUCCCACAUACACACUCACUCU
Long non-coding RNA from Sebastes umbrosus (honeycomb rockfish), 97 nucleotides. RefSeq lists it as uncharacterized. Lineage: Eukaryota; Metazoa; Chordata; Actinopteri; Perciformes; Sebastidae. The record is from RefSeq and is a predicted model, not a curated record. The transcript is spliced from 3 exons.